CAGCCGCCGCGGUAAUACGGAGGGUCCGAGCGUUAUCCGGAAUUAUUGGGUUUAAAGGGUCCGUAGGCGGGCCAUUAAGUCAGGAGUGAAAGUCUGCGGCUCAACCGUAGAAUUGCCUUUGAUACUGGUGGUCUUGAGUUAUGGUGAAGUGGCUGGAAUAUGUAGUGUAGCGGUGAAAUGCAUAGAUAUUACAUAGAACACCGAUUGCGAAGGCAGGUCACUAACCAUAUACUGACGCUGAUGGACGAAAGCGUGGGGAGCGAACAGGAUUAGAUACCCUGGUAGUCCACGCCGUAAACGAUGGAUACUAGCUGUCCGGGGCUUUAAGUCCUGGGCGGCCAAGCGAAAGUGAUAAGUAUCCCACCUGGGGAGUACGUUCGCAAGAAUGAAACUCAAAGGAAUUGACGGGGGCCCGCACAAGCGGUGGAGCAUGUGGUUUAAUUCGAUGAUACGCGAGGAACCUUACCAGGGCUUAAAUGCAUAUUGACAGGGGUAGAGAUACCUUUUUCUUCGGGCAAUUUGCAAGGUGCUGCAUGGUUGUCGUCAGCUCGUGCCGUGAGGUGUCAGGUUAAGUCCUAUAACGAGCGCAACCCCUACCGUUAGUUGCCAGCGAGUCAUGUCGGGGACUCUAACGGGACUGCCGGUGCAAACCGUGAGGAAGGUGGGGAUGACGUCACAUCAUCACGGCCCUUACGUCCUGGGCCACACACGUGCUACAAUGGCCGGUACAGAGAGCAGCCAUCUGGCAACAGAGAGCGAAUCUACAAAACCGGUCACAGUUCGGAUCGGGGUCUGCAACUCGACCCCGUGAAGCUGGAAUCGCUAGUAAUCGGAUAUCAGCCAUGAUCCGGUGAAUACGUUCCCGGGCCUUGUACACACCGCCCGUCAAGCCAUGGAAGCCGGGAGUGCCUGAAGUCCGUCACCGUAAGGAGCGGCCUAGGGCAAGAUCGGUAACUAGGGCUAAGUCGUAACAAGGUAACCGUA
RNAcentral lists this ribosomal RNA (984 nucleotides) under uncultured bacterium. RNAcentral's name for it is "bacterial SSU rRNA". It matches the Rfam family "Bacterial small subunit ribosomal RNA", at positions 509 to 1504 of the family's 1533-position model. The record is from RNAcentral.